GAAUAGUAAGAAAAGCAGACAAGACCUGAAGAUACAGCUAAAAAAGCUGCAGAAAUUGGAGGAGGAAAAGCAAAAGAAGCUGCUGCAAGCAAGAAGCAUCGAGAUUUUGCGGUACACUGACCUCAACUUAUUCCGUUCAGAAUGGUGUAUAUUUUCUUUUGAUUGUGCAUACUGGUGGUCUGGCAUGGCAGUAAUCGUAGGAUUUCAGUUGAUGGACAUUCGCUGCUGCAUGCCUCGGGCACUAUUGGUCAAGCUGAGACUUUGAAAGAAAAACUUAGGCGGGCUGCGCAGUUCUCCAGGAUUCAACAAACCAAGUGUUCCAAGUUGUUCUCAUGUGGCGAUAGAUUUCCAGGAUGAAGAACUGAUACAGGAGGGAGCUGUUAUGCAAGAGUGCUUCAAUCCGCCAAUUGUAGUACCUGUCGCAAGGAGGGCUCUCCCAAUAAUAAUGAUGGAACAGGAAAUAAUGGAAGCUAUCUACGAAAAUUCCGUUGUAAUUCUGUGUGGAGAAACAGGCUGUGGUAAAACUACUCAGGUCCCACAGUUGUAUGAAGCUAGCUUUGGUAUGAGCAAUCCAGUUGACAGAAAAGGGAUUAUUGGUAUCACCCAACCACGGCGUUGUUGCUGUUCUUGCCACAGCUAGGAGAGUUUCGUAUGAGCUAGGACUUAAGCUGGUUUUCAAGUUAGGCAUGA
Long non-coding RNA from Triticum dicoccoides, 690 nucleotides. RefSeq lists it as uncharacterized. The transcript has 6 exons. NCBI's taxonomy places the organism in Eukaryota, Viridiplantae, Streptophyta, Magnoliopsida, Poales, Poaceae. The record is from RefSeq and is a predicted model, not a curated record.